RNAcentral lists this long non-coding RNA (200 nucleotides) under Malus domestica (apple). RNAcentral describes it as "long non-coding RNA (MDOM_LNC008741)". The record is from RNAcentral. Lineage: Eukaryota; Viridiplantae; Streptophyta; Magnoliopsida; Rosales; Rosaceae.
GAAGAUGCCACAUCUACAUAUGAGACAGAUAAGGCAAGUGAAUAUGAUACCACACUUCAGUACUUAGAAGUUUCAUGAUUACUCAAUAGCUUGGAUCUUGCAAGUCCCCAACCGAGGAGCUUCCCUUACUCGGGAACUUAGGGGAGCACUGUUUGUACCAUACUUGACUAAUCCCGAAACUACUGAGCACCGGUCAACGU